AGAUGAACCAAUUUCGACUUUAUCCAGGAGGCUCCCAAAAGCAGAACUGCACGCGCCUUUCGGGAUUCAAAAACCAGGGAAUAGAAUUGCCUUAAACAUACUGGAGUUCCCAUCAUUCCUGGCCAGUUCCCAUCAUUCCAGUCCGAACACAUAUGGAGACCAACAGGUUGAGCAAAACAGCAUUCAGCUGACUAAACCAUUGGAGCUCCAGAUCCAGCUUUGAUCUGGCCCAAUCUUCCUCCGCAUUGGAGCCCCGUACAGAUGUUGCGAUGCCUCCUCCCUCUGAUGCCUCUCUGCUCAGUGAGUGCAGCAACUGUUUGCUGGCCAUGACCUGCCUGGCCCUCGUUGCGGGUGUCUUCAUGGUGAUCUCCGCCAUCCUCUGUGAACGGGUUCUCCGUGGGUACCUGCCCCACAAAAGAAAGCCAGUACCAUCUGUCUGGAGGCAAGGUGGGACCUUGUGGAUAGAGCCGAGCCGGAAUCGUGCAGAGCCAGAUGUUCUCUCGAGGCAGUCGGAAACGGUCCCACUUUGGAUCCAGCGUUCCAAUGACUGGUUUCUGGAUGUUUCCCCAGAACCAAGGGGUUGUGACUCUCUUGUUGACCUCCAGCAGGAAGCAUCCAGCCCAAGCAGUUCUUCCCCUCUUUGGGACCAUGAUGAACCAACAUGGGGGGUCCAGCCACGGGUUACUUUGCAGGACCUGGCUGGGUUUUUUCGGCACAGUCAGCGGGGUACU
Anolis sagrei ordinatus is the source of this 731-nucleotide long non-coding RNA. RefSeq lists it as uncharacterized. Lineage: Eukaryota; Metazoa; Chordata; Lepidosauria; Squamata; Anolidae. The record is from RefSeq and is a predicted model, not a curated record.